GCGCUGCUAGUCGUGGUUGGCGGCGUCCUGCUCGCGCUGGGACUUGCAGGCAUCUGAUCGGGUGGGCAUCGGUUGCGUAACCGGUGUGGCGAA
This 93-nucleotide transfer RNA is filed under the name Mycobacterium bourgelatii. Its description in RNAcentral is "tRNA-Ala". The record is from RNAcentral. Lineage: Bacteria; Bacillati; Actinomycetota; Actinomycetes; Mycobacteriales; Mycobacteriaceae.